UAUGAUCUCAAAUCAAGUGUGACUACCCGCUGAACUUAAGCAUAUCAGUAAGCGGAGGAAAAGAAACUAAAUAGGAUUCCCUUAGUAACGGCGAGUGAAAAAGGGC
This 106-nucleotide ribosomal RNA is filed under the name Panagrolaimus sp. WS94. RNAcentral's name for it is "partial 28S ribosomal RNA". It matches the Rfam family "Eukaryotic large subunit ribosomal RNA", at positions 1 to 104 of the family's 3401-position model. Lineage: Eukaryota; Metazoa; Nematoda; Chromadorea; Rhabditida; Panagrolaimidae. The record is from RNAcentral.